AGAUUGAACGCUAGCGGGAUGCUUUACACAUGCAAGUCGAACGGCAGCGCGGACUUCGGUCUGGCGGCGAGUGGCGAACGGGUGAGUAAUAUAUCGGAACGUGCCCAGUAGCGGGGGAUAACUACGCGAAAGCGUGGCUAAUACCGCAUACGCCCUACGGGGGAAAGGGGGGAUCGCAAGACCUCUCACUAUUGGAGCGGCCGAUAUCAGAUUAGCUAGUUGGUGAGGUAAAGGCUCACCAAGGCGACGAUCUGUAGCUGGUUUGAGAGGACGACCAGCCACACUGGGACUGAGACACGGCCCAGACUCCUACGGGAGCAGCAGUGGGAAUAGUUGGACAAGUGGG
RNAcentral lists this ribosomal RNA (346 nucleotides) under uncultured soil bacterium. Its description in RNAcentral is "bacterial SSU rRNA". It matches the Rfam family "Bacterial small subunit ribosomal RNA", at positions 26 to 376 of the family's 1533-position model. The record is from RNAcentral.